This 367-nucleotide long non-coding RNA is filed under the name Arabidopsis thaliana (thale cress). Its description in RNAcentral is "long non-coding RNA (ATHA_LNC000689)". Lineage: Eukaryota; Viridiplantae; Streptophyta; Magnoliopsida; Brassicales; Brassicaceae. The record is from RNAcentral.
UAAAGUCCAAUGGAGGUUCUUCUAGUUGAGUACCUUGGUGAGAAAGAGCAUCAGCUGCGUGAUACCCUGUCUUGACCGAGUAGUCUCUAGUCUUAUUAGGUAACCAAACAUAUCGAUCUCUGGCUCCAAAUUUGCUGGGUCUUAGAAGGAAGAUCUCCUUUUCAUAGCUGGGAAGUAACAAUCUUACUUUCUCUCUAUCCCAAGACUUUGUGGUUUGACAAAUAAGCUGAGCUACUGUCAUUGAUUUGAAUUGUUCAAGUGCAGGACCCAUUGGAGUUGAGGAGGUUGAAAGAGAUAGCCACGGUUCGUUCCAAACCAAAGUAUCCAAGCCCGAUCCAAUCACUUUCCCCAGCUGAGAUUUGAUUAG